GACGAACGCUGGCGGCGUGCCUAAUACAUGCAAGUUGAGCGAUGAAGAUUGGUGCUUGCACCAAUUUGAAGAGCAGCGAACGGGUGAGUAACGCGUGGGGAAUCUGCCUUUGAGCGGGGGACAACAUUUGGAAACGAAUGCUAAUACCGCAUAACAACUUUAAACAUAAGUUUUAAGUUUGAAAGAUGCAAUUGCAUCACUCAAAGAUGAUCCCGCGUUGUAUUAGCUAGUUGGUGAGGUAAAGGCUCACCAAGGCGAUGAUACAUAGCCGACCUGAGAGGGUGAUCGGCCACAUUGGGACUGAGACACGGCCCAAACUCCUACGGGAGGCAGCAGUAGGGCAUCUUCGGCAAUAGACGAAAGUCUGACCGAGCAACGCCGCGUGAGUGAAGAAGGUUUUCGGAUCGUAAAACUCUGUUGGUAGAGAAGAACGUUGGUGAGAGUGGAAAGCUCAUCAAGUGACGGUAACUACCCAGAAAGGGACGGCUAACUACGUG
RNAcentral lists this ribosomal RNA (497 nucleotides) under uncultured bacterium. RNAcentral describes it as "partial 16S ribosomal RNA". It matches the Rfam family "Bacterial small subunit ribosomal RNA", at positions 28 to 507 of the family's 1533-position model. The record is from RNAcentral.